CGAGAAAGCCCGCAAGGGUGAGUAAAGCGGCGCACGGGUGCGUAACACGUGGGUAAUCUGCCCUAGAGUCCGGAAUAACUCGCCGAAAGGCGUGCUAAUGCCGGAUGAGACCUCGGGAGCCUCGGCUCCUGCGGGAAAAGGUGGCCUCUGUAUACAAGCUAUCGCUCUGGGAUGAGCCCGCGGCCCAUCAGCUCGUUGGCGGGGUAAUGGCCCACCAAGGCUACGACGGGUAGCUGGUCUGAGAGGACGAUCAGCCACACUGGAACUGAGACACGGUCCAGACUCCUACGGGAGGCAGCAGUGGGGAAUCUUGCGCAAUGGGCGAAAGCCUGACGCAGCAACGCCGCGUGUGUGAUGAAGGUCUUCGGAUCGUAAAGCACUGUCGCGAGGGACG
Molecule: ribosomal RNA, 394 nt
Filed under: uncultured Anaeromyxobacter sp.
Lineage: Bacteria; Pseudomonadati; Myxococcota; Myxococcia; Myxococcales; Anaeromyxobacteraceae
Description: bacterial SSU rRNA
Rfam family: Bacterial small subunit ribosomal RNA
Source: RNAcentral